This 72-nucleotide transfer RNA is filed under the name Paramuricea clavata. It matches the Rfam family "tRNA". Rfam says of the family: Transfer RNA (tRNA) molecules are approximately 80 nucleotides in length. The record is from Rfam by way of RNAcentral. Lineage: Eukaryota; Metazoa; Cnidaria; Anthozoa; Malacalcyonacea; Plexauridae.
GCCUCAUUAGCUCGGGGGUAGAGCAGUAGUUUCGUAAACUGAAGGUCAUGAGUUUGAGUCUCACAUGAAGCU